AAAAUGAGAAAAGAACAGAAGCAAUUGAAGCAACACAACCAUAUCUAAGAUUUUUAUUGCCCAACGUUAAAGAAGAAUUACAACGGUUACUUACUUUUAUGGCUCUUGCAUCAGAACCUAAUGCCUACAAGGUGCAAAAACAGUUUGCUAACAAAACGGUGGUCCUGAAAACUCUUGCCAAAGCAGUUUUGCAAUCCAGAUCAUUAUUAAAACUCCGGACAGAACGACUAGUCUUAUUUCUACUGAAGUUUCAUUCUGAGCUCUUCAAGGCACCGGUUACUUUAUUAGAUCUGAUUAAUAAGAAACUUAAGAUGCUUCUACAUGGAGACGAUCCAGAUGCCAUAUCAGGUAUUGAUCCAGACUUACUCUUUCUUCAUCGUUACGUGACUGAUACAGGUACAUAA
This 404-nucleotide long non-coding RNA is filed under the name Sus scrofa (pig). RNAcentral describes it as "lncRNA (ENSSSCG00065035724.1)". Lineage: Eukaryota; Metazoa; Chordata; Mammalia; Artiodactyla; Suidae. The record is from RNAcentral.